UCGCUCAACUUUGUUAUUCACGUUCCUUUGUAACUCUAGAGAAUGGACUCGCUUCUGCGUGAAAGCCAUUGAGCCAAAUGGACUCGCUUUUUGGAAUGGAGGAUGUUCUGAGGAGAUAUGUCUUUGGGAAGAAGAAGACAACAGAGUUUGCUCACUUACAGUUGUAUCCAGGCAUCAAAUAGUUGAUAUUGACUAUUUUUACCAAGGUUUGGAAACAUGAUGUCCAGAAAAGGGAUACAGUGAUUGAUGCCACUUUUGGUAAUGGUUAUGAUACUUUAGCAAUGGUCAAUAUACUUGAUAAUGAAUUAGCCAGGGUUGUGUUUAUGCAGUGGAUAUUCAGAAUGAUGUUUAGAGAAUACUUCUUCUUUGCUGGAAGAGCUGCUCAAUCCAAACGAGCUGCCCUUUUCUCACAGUUCCAUUUAUUUGUUUAAC
Molecule: long non-coding RNA, 432 nt
Organism: Quercus lobata
Lineage: Eukaryota; Viridiplantae; Streptophyta; Magnoliopsida; Fagales; Fagaceae
Exons: 3
Source: RefSeq, a predicted model, not a curated record